Molecule: ribosomal RNA, 465 nt
Filed under: Vreelandella stevensii
Lineage: Bacteria; Pseudomonadati; Pseudomonadota; Gammaproteobacteria; Oceanospirillales; Halomonadaceae
Description: partial 16S ribosomal RNA
Rfam family: Bacterial small subunit ribosomal RNA
Source: RNAcentral
CCUAGGGGGGGCAGCAGUGGGGAAUAUUGGACAAUGGGGGCAACCCUGAUCCAGCCAUGCCGCGUGUGUGAAGAAGGCCCUCGGGGUGUAAAGCACUUUCAGUGAGGAAGAACGCCUGGUGGUUAAUACCCAUCAGGAAAGACAUCACUCACAGAAGAAGCACCGGCUAACUCCGUGCCAGCAGCCGCGGUAAUACGGAGGGUGCGAGCGUUAAUCGGAAUUACUGGGCGUAAAGCGCGCGUAGGUGGCUUGAUAAGCCGGUUGUGAAAGCCCCGGGCUCAACCUGGGAACGGCAUCCGGAACUGUCAAGCUAGAGUGCAGGAGAGGAAGGUAGAAUUCCCGGUGUAGCGGUGAAAUGCGUAGAGAUCGGGAGGAAUACCAGUGGCGAAGGCGGCCUUCUGGACUGACACUGACACUGAGGUGCGAAAGCGUGGGUAGCAAACAGGAUUAGAUACCCGUGUAGUC